Molecule: ribosomal RNA, 440 nt
Filed under: uncultured bacterium
Lineage: Bacteria
Description: partial 16S ribosomal RNA
Rfam family: Bacterial small subunit ribosomal RNA
Source: RNAcentral
CCUACGGGUGGCAGCAGUGGGGCAUAUUGCACAAUGGGGGAAACCCUGAUGCAGCGACGCUGCGUGAGUGAAGAAGUACUUCGUUAUGUAAAGCUCUAUCAACAGGGAAGAAAAUCACGGUACCUGACUAAUAAGCCCCGGCUAACUACGUGCCAGCAGCCGCGGUCAUACUUAGGGGGCAAGCGUUCUCCGGAUUUACUGGGUGUAAAGGGAGCGUAGACGGAAGUGCAAGUAUGGAGUGAAAGGCGGGGGCUCAAACCCCGGACUGCUCUGGAAACUGUACGGCUGGAGUGCAGGAGAGGUAAGUGGAAUUCCGAGUGUAGCGGUGAAAUGCGGAGAUAUUAGGAGGAACACCAGUGGCGAAGGCGGCUUACUGGACUGUAACUGACGUUGAGGCUCGAAAGCGUGGGGAGCAAACAGGAUUAGAUACCCGAGUAGUC